GAUGAACGCUGGCGGCGUGCCUAAUACAUGCAAGUCGAGCGAACGGACGAGAAGCUUGCUUCUCUGAUGUUAUCAGCGGACGGGUGAGUAACACGUGGAUAACCUACCUAUAAGACUGGGAUAACUUCGGGAAACCGGAGCUAAUACCGGAUAAUAUUUUGAACCGCAUGGUUCAAAAGUGAAAGACGGUCUUGCUGUCACUUAUAGAUGGAUCCGCGCUGCAUUAGCUAGUUGGUAAGGUAACGGCUUACCAAGGCAACGAUGCAUAGCCGACCUGAGAGGGUGAUCGGCCACACUGGAACUGAGACACGGUCCAGACUCCUACGGGAGGCAGCAGUAGGGAAUCUUCCGCAAUGGGCGAAAGCCUGACGGAGCAACGCCGCGUGAGUGAUGAAGGUCUUCGGAUCGUAAAACUCUGUUAUUAGGGAAGAACAUAUGUGUAAGUAACUGUGCACAUCUUGACGGUACCUAAUCAGAAAGCCACGGCUAACUACGUG
Molecule: ribosomal RNA, 497 nt
Filed under: uncultured bacterium
Lineage: Bacteria
Description: partial 16S ribosomal RNA
Rfam family: Bacterial small subunit ribosomal RNA
Source: RNAcentral